GUUUUGUUACUUGAUCUACGGCUAUUUCAUCACCAAAGCUUCUGAUAACAGAUCAAAGUAGAUGGAUAGGGCAUACAGAGUCGCCGUUUAAUUUAAAAUAUCUUCGUGAUCGGCAAACGCAUCAAACAGCAAGUGUUUUUCCUUCCAACAGCACGCACCAUCGGUGGUGCAGUAGCUAACGUUUUGUUCGCCCAGCGCGCACCAUCAAGAAUUGAAAUAUUCCGAAUAGCUUUGUGAAUAAAAAAACUGCACACUUACUGUAGGAA
This is a long non-coding RNA of Anopheles arabiensis, 266 nucleotides long. RefSeq lists it as uncharacterized. The record is from RefSeq and is a predicted model, not a curated record. NCBI's taxonomy places the organism in Eukaryota, Metazoa, Arthropoda, Insecta, Diptera, Culicidae. The transcript has 3 exons.